RNAcentral lists this ribosomal RNA (447 nucleotides) under uncultured bacterium. RNAcentral describes it as "partial 16S ribosomal RNA". It matches the Rfam family "Bacterial small subunit ribosomal RNA", at positions 29 to 523 of the family's 1533-position model. The record is from RNAcentral.
AACGAACGCUGGCGGCAGGCCUAACACAUGCAAGUCGAACGCACCGCAAGGUGAGUGGCGCACGGGUGAGUAACACGUGGGAAUGUACCCUUUGGUUCGGAAUAACGUUUGGAAACGAACGCUAAUACCGGAUGAGCCCUACGGGGGAAAGAUUUAUCGCCAAAGGAGCAGCCCGCGUCUGAUUAGGUAGUGGGUGGGGUAAAGGCCUACCAAGCCGACGAUCAGUAGCUGGUCUGAGAGGAUGAUCAGCCACACUGGGACUGAGACACGGCCCAGACUCCUACGGGAGGCAGCAGUGGGGAAUAUUGGACAAUGGGCGCAAGCCUGAUCCAGCCAUGCCGCGUGAGUGAUGAAGGCCUUCGGGUUGUAAAGCUCUUUCGCACACGACGAUGAUGACGGUAGUGUGAGAAGAAGCCCCGGCUAACUUCGUGCCAGCCGCCGCAGUAA